CCUACGGGGGGCAGCAGUGAGGAAUAUUGGUCAAUGGACGAGAGUCUGAACCAGCCAAGUAGCGUGAAGGAUGACUGCCCUAUGGGUUGUAAACUUCUUUUAUAUGGGAAUAAAAUGUUCCACGUGUGGGAUUUUGUAUGUACCAUAUGAAUAAGGAUCGGCUAACUCCGUGCCAGCAGCCGCGGUAAUACGGAGGAUCCGAGCGUUAUCGGGAUUUAUUGGGGUUAAAGGGAGCGUAGGUGGAUUGUUAAGUCAGUUGUGAAAGUUUGCGGAUCAACCGUAAAAUUGCAGUUGAAACUGGCAGUCUUGAGUACAGUAGAGGUGGGCGGAAUUCGUGGUGUAGCGGUGAAAUGCUUAGAUAUCACGAAGAACUCCGAUUGCGAAGGCAGUUCACUGGACUGCAACUGACACUGAGGCUCGAAAGUGUGGGUAUCAAACAGGAUUAGAUACCCGUGUAGUC
This 460-nucleotide ribosomal RNA is filed under the name uncultured bacterium. RNAcentral's name for it is "partial 16S ribosomal RNA". It matches the Rfam family "Bacterial small subunit ribosomal RNA", at positions 338 to 795 of the family's 1533-position model. The record is from RNAcentral.